Molecule: long non-coding RNA, 207 nt
Filed under: Brassica napus (rape)
Lineage: Eukaryota; Viridiplantae; Streptophyta; Magnoliopsida; Brassicales; Brassicaceae
Description: long non-coding RNA (BNAP_LNC000574)
Source: RNAcentral
GAAUCCUAAACCAUCAAUUCUGAAUCUUUUUUUUUUCUUUGAAAUACAAACCCUAAACCCUAAAACCUCAACUCUAAACCCUAAAAAGUAAACUCCAAACCCUAAAAUUUCAACUCUAAACCCUAAACCCUAAACCUUCAACUCUAAACCCUAAAUUAUCAGCUCUAAACCCUAAACCCUAAAUUCUACUCUAACCCCUAAACCAUC